CGGGUGAGUACCACGUGGGCAAUCUACCUUUCGGUGAGGAAUACCGGCGAGAAAUCGCCGACAAUACCGCAUACGCUCGGGCAACCGAGCAAAGUCGCAAGACGCCGGAGGAGGAGCCUGCGCCCGAUUAGCUAGUUGGUGGAGUAAUGGUCUACCAAGGCGACGAUCGGUAGCUGGUCUGAGAGGAUGAUCAGCCACACUGGGAUUGAGAACGGCCCAG
Molecule: ribosomal RNA, 220 nt
Filed under: uncultured bacterium
Lineage: Bacteria
Description: partial 16S ribosomal RNA
Rfam family: Bacterial small subunit ribosomal RNA
Source: RNAcentral